ACUCCUACGGGAGGCAGCAGUAGGGAAUCUUCCACAAUGGGCGCAAGCCUGAUGGAGCAACACCGCGUGAGUGAAGAAGGGUUUCGGCUCGUAAAGCUCUGUUGUUAAAGAAGAACACGUAUGAGAGUAACUGUUCAUACGUUGACGGUAUUUAACCAGAAAGUCACGGCUAACUACGUGCCAGCAGCCGCGGUAAUACGUAGGUGGCAAGCGUUAUCCGGAUUUAUUGGGCGUAAAGAGAGUGCGGGCGGUUUUCUAAGUCUGAUGUGAAAGCCUUCGGCUUAACCGGAGAAGUGCAUCGGAAACUGGAUAACUUGAGUGCAGAAGAGGGUAGUGGAACUCCAUGUGUAGCGGUGGAAUGCGUAGAUAUAUGGAAGAACACCAGUGGCGAAGGCGGCUACCUGGUCUGCAACUGACGCUGAGACUCGAAAGCAUGGGUAGCGAACAGGAUUAGAUACCCUGGUAGGAUAGCG
RNAcentral lists this ribosomal RNA (473 nucleotides) under uncultured bacterium. Its description in RNAcentral is "bacterial SSU rRNA". It matches the Rfam family "Bacterial small subunit ribosomal RNA", at positions 335 to 801 of the family's 1533-position model. The record is from RNAcentral.